RNAcentral lists this ribosomal RNA (1404 nucleotides) under Rhaebo glaberrimus (Cundinamarca toad). Its description in RNAcentral is "partial 16S ribosomal RNA". It matches the Rfam family "Bacterial large subunit ribosomal RNA", at positions 267 to 2575 of the family's 2925-position model. The record is from RNAcentral. Lineage: Eukaryota; Metazoa; Chordata; Amphibia; Anura; Bufonidae.
GCCAAAAGCCUAGCCUAACAAUUAUGAAUUUUACAAAAUCAACUACCCCAUAUAAACAAACCAUUUUAACACUUUAGUAAGGGCGAUUGAAAAUUUAAUAAGAGCUAUAACAAAAGUACCGCAAGGGAAAGAUGAAAUAUACAAUGAAAAAUUUUUUAAGCGGAAAAAAGUAAAGAUUACCCCUUGUACCUUUUGCAUCAUGAUUUAACUAGUCUAACCAAGCAAAACGCAUUUAAGUUUGACUCCCCGAAACUAAGUGAGCUACUUCGAGGCAGCCAAAAGAGCAAACCCGUCUCUGUUGCAAAAGAGUGGGAUGACCUCAAAGUAGCGGUGAUAGACCUAACGAACUUAGUGAUAGCUGGUUACUCAAGAAACGGAUUUAAGUCCAACCUGAAGCCUCUAAAGUAUACCAAAACGAUAACUUAACCUUCAGAGUAAUUCAAAUAAGGUACAGCCUAUUUGAAACAGGGCACAACCUACACCAGCGGAUAAGACCAGCUGCAUCGACAACCAAGUUGGCCUAAAAGCAGCCACCUUAAAAACAGCGUCAAAGCUUAAUUGUCUACAUGCUCAAUACCAAUAUUUUUAUCUUAAUCCCUCAUCAACAUUGAGUAAUUCUAUAAUGCUAUAGAAAAUUUUAUGUUAAAACUAGUAACAAGAAGAAGGCCCUUCUCUUCAAUGCAAGUGUAAAUCAGAAAGGACAACCCACUGAUAUUUAACACAUUUGAGCCAAAAGUUGAAACUAACCAAGAAAACCCUACUUUCACUUAUGUUAACCUAACACAAGAGCAUUCCAAGAAAGAUUAAAAGAAAAAGAAGGAACUCGGCAAAUCCUAGCCCCGCCUGUUUACCAAAAACAUCGCCUCUUGAUUAGUUAUAAGAGGUCCAGCCUGCCCAGUGACCCUGUUCAACGGCCGCGGUAUCCUAACCGUGCGAAGGUAGCGUAAUCACUUGUUCUUUAAAUAAGGACUAGUAUGAAUGGCACCACGAGGGCUACACUGUCUCCUUUUUCUAAUCAGUGAACCUAAUCUUCCCGUGAAGAAGCGGGAAUAAACCUAUAAGACGAGAAGACCCUAUGGAGCUUUAAACAAUAUAGCAUUUGCCAUAUAACAUAAAAAUUUCCGAAUAUUCACUUCUUAAAGCAGUAUGACUAUAAGUUUUUGGUUGGGGUGACCGCGGAGCAUAACACAACCUCCAUGUUGAAUGAAGAUUAUUCUAAGCCACGAACCACACUUCUAAGCAUCAAAAUACUGACACCAAUUGACCCAAUAUAUUUGAACAACGAACCAAGUUACCCUAGGGAUAACAGCGCAAUCCACUUCAAGAGCUCCUAUCGACAAGUGGGUUUACGACCUCGAUGUUGGAUCAGGGUCUCCCAGUGGUGUAGCCGCUACUAAAGGUUCG